GAGAAUGAAAGAUACCUGGACAUUUAUGAUAUCAACAAAGGUCUUGAUCUGCAUGAGGGUGACAUACUGCUGAAGUCUGAAAAUUUAAGGAACGUCAUUC
Osmerus eperlanus (European smelt) is the source of this 100-nucleotide long non-coding RNA. RefSeq lists it as uncharacterized. The transcript has 3 exons. The record is from RefSeq and is a predicted model, not a curated record. Lineage: Eukaryota; Metazoa; Chordata; Actinopteri; Osmeriformes; Osmeridae.